GGGAAUAUUGCGCAAUGGACGAAAGUCUGACGCAGCCACGCCGCGUGAGUGAGGAAGGCCUUCGGGUUGUAAAGCUCUGUCGCCUGGGAAAAACGGCUAUUGGGGGAAAGUUCCAGUAGCGUGAUGGUAACAGGAAAGGAAGCACCGGCAAACUCUGUGCCAGCAGCCGCGGUAAUACGUAGGGGGCGAGCGUUGUCCGGAAUCAUUGGGCGUAAAGAGCUCGUAGGCGGCUCAGUAAGUCGGCUGUGAAAUCCCAGGGCUCAACCCUGGAACUGCAGUCGAUACUGCUGUGGCUAGAGUUUGGUAGAGGAGAAUGGAAUUCCCGGUGUAGCGGUGGAAUGCGCAGAUAUCGGGAGGAACACCAGUAGCGAAGGCGGUUCUCUGGGCCAAUACUGACGCUGAGGAGCGAAAGCGUGGGGAGCAAA
RNAcentral lists this ribosomal RNA (425 nucleotides) under uncultured bacterium. Its description in RNAcentral is "bacterial SSU rRNA". It matches the Rfam family "Bacterial small subunit ribosomal RNA", at positions 357 to 772 of the family's 1533-position model. The record is from RNAcentral.